RNAcentral lists this non-coding RNA (112 nucleotides) under Halostagnicola sp. A56. Its description in RNAcentral is "Archaeal large subunit ribosomal RNA". It matches the Rfam family "Archaeal large subunit ribosomal RNA", at positions 674 to 786 of the family's 2987-position model. Lineage: Archaea; Methanobacteriati; Methanobacteriota; Halobacteria; Halobacteriales; Natrialbaceae. The record is from Rfam by way of RNAcentral.
UGUCUGUUCGACGAGUCUAACCCGAUCAUCGGGGAAGGCGGAGGGAAACCGAUAUGACCGCAGUGCUUUGCACCAGGGUCACCGUGUUCAAGCGCGGGGAGUCGAGCGGACA